AGAGUUUGAUCCUGGCUCAGAUUGAACGCUGGCGGCGUGCCUAACACAUGCAAGUCGAGCGGUAACGCGGGGGCAACCCUGGCGACGAGCGGCGAACGGGUGAGUAAUGCUUGGGAAUCUGCCCAGUAGUGGGGAAUAACCAGCCGAAAGGUUGGCUAAUACCGCAUACGCCCUACGGGGGAAAGCGGGGGACCGAAAGGCCUCGCGCUAUUGGAUGAGCCCAAGUCGGAUUAGCUAGUUGGUAGGGUAACGGCCUACCAAGGCGACGAUCCGUAGCUGGUCUGAGAGGACGACCAGCCACACUGGGACUGAGACACGGCCCAGACUCCUACGGGAGGCAGCAGUGGGGAAUAUUGGACAAUGGGCGAAAGCCUGAUCCAGCGACGCCGCGUGGGUGAAGAAGGCCUGCGGGUUGUAAAGCCCUUUUAGUGGGGAUGAAAAACUCAGACCUAAUACGUCU
RNAcentral lists this ribosomal RNA (460 nucleotides) under uncultured bacterium. RNAcentral describes it as "bacterial SSU rRNA". It matches the Rfam family "Bacterial small subunit ribosomal RNA", at positions 8 to 470 of the family's 1533-position model. The record is from RNAcentral.